UGGGGAAUAUUGCGCAAUGGGGGAAACCCUGACGCAGCAACGCCGCGUGAGUGAGGAAGUAUCUCGGUAUGUAAAGCUCUAUCAGCGGGGAAGAAAGAGGACGGUACCCGACUAAGAAGCCCCGGCUAACUACGUGCC
This 138-nucleotide ribosomal RNA is filed under the name uncultured bacterium. RNAcentral's name for it is "partial 16S ribosomal RNA". It matches the Rfam family "Bacterial small subunit ribosomal RNA", at positions 355 to 509 of the family's 1533-position model. The record is from RNAcentral.